Small nucleolar RNA from Malania oleifera, 106 nucleotides. Lineage: Eukaryota; Viridiplantae; Streptophyta; Magnoliopsida; Santalales; Ximeniaceae. The record is from RefSeq and is a predicted model, not a curated record.
ACUUGGUGGUGUAGGCAUUUGUGCAAGAGGUCCCUAAAGCGCUCCCAUGUUUCAAAAAAUGGUUCCUCAUCCACUUAUAAGAAAAUAGUGAUGGCCUUCCUCAGCU